UACGAAGGGGGCUAGCGUUGCUCGGAAUUACUGGGCGUAAAGCGCACGUAGGCGGCUUUCUAAGUCGGGGGUGAAAUCCUGGAGCUCAACUCCAGAACUGCCUUCGAUACUGGAGAGCUUGAGUCCGGGAGAGGUGAGUGGAACUGCGAGUGUAGAGGUGAAAUUCGUAGAUAUUCGGAGGAACACCAGUGGCGAAGGCGGCUCACUGGUCCAUUACUGACGCUGAGGUGCGAAAGCGUGGGGAGCAAACAGG
RNAcentral lists this ribosomal RNA (253 nucleotides) under uncultured bacterium. RNAcentral describes it as "partial 16S ribosomal RNA". It matches the Rfam family "Bacterial small subunit ribosomal RNA", at positions 524 to 776 of the family's 1533-position model. The record is from RNAcentral.